This 299-nucleotide signal recognition particle RNA is filed under the name Cebus imitator (Panamanian white-faced capuchin). RNAcentral describes it as "Metazoan signal recognition particle RNA (ENSCCAG00000011037.1)". It matches the Rfam family "Metazoan signal recognition particle RNA". Rfam says of the family: The signal recognition particle (SRP) is a universally conserved ribonucleoprotein. Lineage: Eukaryota; Metazoa; Chordata; Mammalia; Primates; Cebidae. The record is from RNAcentral.
GCCGGGCGCGGUGGCACGUGUCUGUAGUCCCAGCUACUCGGGAGGCUGAGGUGGGAGGAUCGCUUGAGCCCAGGAGUUCUGGGCUGUAGUGCGCUAUGCCGAUCGGGUGUCCGCACUAAGUUCGGCAUCAAUAUGGUGACCUCCCGGGAGCAGGGGACCACCAGGUUGCCUAAGGAGGGGUGAACCGGCCCAGGUUGGAAACGGAGCGAGUCAAAACUCCCGGGCUGAUCAGUAGUGGGAUCCCGCCUGUGAAUAGCCACUGCACCCCAGCCUGGGCAACAGAGUGAGACCCUGUCUCU